This 75-nucleotide transfer RNA is filed under the name Flavobacteriaceae bacterium. Its description in RNAcentral is "tRNA-Val". It matches the Rfam family "tRNA". Rfam says of the family: Transfer RNA (tRNA) molecules are approximately 80 nucleotides in length. Their secondary structure includes four short double-helical elements and three loops (D, anti-codon, and T loops). RNAcentral also lists the same sequence under 1 other name. Lineage: Bacteria; Pseudomonadati; Bacteroidota; Flavobacteriia; Flavobacteriales; Flavobacteriaceae. The record is from RNAcentral.
GAGGGAUUAGCUCAGUUGGUUUAGAGCGCUACCUUGACAGGGUAGAGGUCAUCGGUUCGAAUCCGUUAUUCCUCA